GGAAAGGUGGCCGAGUGGUUGAUGGCACUGGUCUUGAAAACCAGAGAGGGAAACCUCCGCAGGUUCGAAUCCUGUCCUUUCCGCCA
This 86-nucleotide transfer RNA is filed under the name Candidatus Saccharimonadota bacterium. RNAcentral's name for it is "tRNA-Ser". It matches the Rfam family "tRNA". From Rfam's summary of the family: Transfer RNA (tRNA) molecules are approximately 80 nucleotides in length. Lineage: Bacteria; Candidatus Saccharimonadota. The record is from RNAcentral.